This 214-nucleotide ribosomal RNA is filed under the name uncultured bacterium. RNAcentral's name for it is "partial 16S ribosomal RNA". It matches the Rfam family "Bacterial small subunit ribosomal RNA", at positions 524 to 732 of the family's 1533-position model. The record is from RNAcentral.
UACGUAGGGCGGCGAGCGUUAUCCGGAAUUAUUGGCGUAAAGAGCUCGUAGGCGGUCUGUCGCGUCUGCUGUGAAAACUCAGGGCUUAACCCUGAGCUUGCAGUGGGUACGGGCAGACUAGAGUGCGGUAGGGGAGACUGGAAUUCCGUGGUGAUAGCGGUGAAAUGCGCAGAUAUCGAGGAGGAACGACCGGUGGCGGAAGGCGGGUCUCUGG